GAUGAACGCUGGCGGCGUGCCUAAUACAUGCAAGUCGAGCGAACAGAUGAGGAGCUUGCUCCUCUGACGUUAGCGGCGGACGGGUGAGUAACACGUGGAUAACCUACCUAUAAGACUGGGAUAACUUCGGGAAACCGGAGCUAAUACCGGAUAAUAUAUUGAACCGCAUGGUUCAAUAGUGAAAGACGGUUUUGCUGUCACUUAUAGAUGGAUCCGCGCCGCAUUAGCUAGUUGGUAAGGUAACGGCUUACCAAGGCAACGAUGCGUAGCCGACCUGAGAGGGUGAUCGGCCACACUGGAACUGAGACACGGUCCAGACUCCUACGGGAGGCAGCAGUAGGGAAUCUUCCGCAAUGGGCGAAAGCCUGACGGAGCAACGCCGCGUGAGUGAUGAAGGUCUUCGGAUCGUGAAACUCUGUUAUUAGGGAAGAACAAAUGUGUAAGUAACUAUGCACGUCUUGACGGUACCUAAUCAGAAAGCCACGGCUAACUACGUG
RNAcentral lists this ribosomal RNA (497 nucleotides) under uncultured bacterium. RNAcentral's name for it is "partial 16S ribosomal RNA". It matches the Rfam family "Bacterial small subunit ribosomal RNA", at positions 28 to 507 of the family's 1533-position model. The record is from RNAcentral.